This 155-nucleotide ribosomal RNA is filed under the name uncultured bacterium. Its description in RNAcentral is "partial 16S ribosomal RNA". It matches the Rfam family "Bacterial small subunit ribosomal RNA", at positions 355 to 507 of the family's 1533-position model. The record is from RNAcentral.
UGAGGAAUAUUGGUCAAUGGACGCAAGUCUGAACCAGCCAUGCCGCGUGAAGGAUGAAGGCGUUCUGCGUUGUAAACUUCUUUUAUCAGGGAAGAAACCACAGAUUUCUAUUUGUGUUGACGGUGCCUGAGGAAUAAGCACCGGCUAACUCCGUG